This 2306-nucleotide ribosomal RNA is filed under the name Pluralibacter gergoviae. RNAcentral describes it as "bacterial LSU rRNA". It matches the Rfam family "Bacterial large subunit ribosomal RNA", at positions 657 to 2925 of the family's 2925-position model. Lineage: Bacteria; Pseudomonadati; Pseudomonadota; Gammaproteobacteria; Enterobacterales; Enterobacteriaceae. The record is from RNAcentral.
AUAGGGGAGCCGAAGGGAAACCGAGUCUUAACUGGGCGUUAAGUUGCAGGGUAUAGACCCGAAACCCGGUGAUCUAGCCAUGGGCAGGUUGAAGGUUGGGUAACACUAACUGGAGGACCGAACCGACUAAUGUUGAAAAAUUAGCGGAUGACCUGUGGCUGGGGGUGAAAGGCCAAUCAAACCGGGAGAUAGCUGGUUCUCCCCGAAAGCUAUUUAGGUAGCGCCUCGUGAACUCAUCUUCGGGGGUAGAGCACUGUUUCGGCUAGGGGGUCAUCCCGACUUACCAACCCGAUGCAAACUGCGAAUACCGAAGAAUGUUAUCACGGGAGACACACGGCGGGUGCUAACGUCCGUCGUGAAGAGGGAAACAACCCAGACCGCCAGCUAAGGUCCCAAAGUCAUGGUUAAGUGGGAAACGAUGUGGGAAGGCCCAGACAGCCAGGAUGUUGGCUUAGAAGCAGCCAUCAUUUAAAGAAAGCGUAAUAGCUCACUGGUCGAGUCGGCCUGCGCGGAAGAUGUAACGGGGCUAAACCAUGCACCGAAGCUGCGGCAGCGACGCUUAUGCGUUGUUGGGUAGGGGAGCGUUCUGUAAGCCGUCGAAGGUGUGCUGUGAGGCAUGCUGGAGGUAUCAGAAGUGCGAAUGCUGACAUAAGUAACGAUAAAGCGGGUGAAAAGCCCGCUCGCCGGAAGACCAAGGGUUCCUGUCCAACGUUAAUCGGGGCAGGGUGAGUCGACCCCUAAGGCGAGGCCGAAAGGCGUAGUCGAUGGGAAACAGGUUAAUAUUCCUGUACUUGGUGUUACUGCGAAGGGGGGACGGAGAAGGCUAUGUUAGCCGGGCGACGGUUGUCCCGGUUUAAGCAUGUAGGCGGAGGUUCCAGGUAAAUCCGGUACCUUUUAACGCUGAGGUGUGAUGACGAGGCACUACGGUGCUGAAGUAACAAAUGCCCUGCUUCCAGGAAAAGCCUCUAAGCUCCAGGUAACACGAAAUCGUACCCCAAACCGACACAGGUGGUCAGGUAGAGAAUACCAAGGCGCUUGAGAGAACUCGGGUGAAGGAACUAGGCAAAAUGGUGCCGUAACUUCGGGAGAAGGCACGCUGACAUGUAGGUGAAGCCCCUGCGGGUGGAGCUGAAGUCAGUCGAAGAUACCAGCUGGCUGCAACUGUUUAUUAAAAACACAGCACUGUGCAAACACGAAAGUGGACGUAUACGGUGUGACGCCUGCCCGGUGCCGGAAGGUUAAUUGAUGGGGUUAUCCGUAAGGAGAAGCUCUUGAUCGAAGCCCCGGUAAACGGCGGCCGUAACUAUAACGGUCCUAAGGUAGCGAAAUUCCUUGUCGGGUAAGUUCCGACCUGCACGAAUGGCGUAAUGAUGGCCAGGCUGUCUCCACCCGAGACUCAGUGAAAUUGAACUCGCUGUGAAGAUGCAGUGUACCCGCGGCAAGACGGAAAGACCCCGUGAACCUUUACUAUAGCUUGACACUGAACAUUGAGCCUUGAUGUGUAGGAUAGGUGGGAGGCUUUGAAGCGUGGACGCCAGUCUGCGUGGAGCCAACCUUGAAAUACCACCCUUUAAUGUUUGAUGUUCUAACCUGGCGCCGUAAUCCGGCGUGGGGACAGUGUCUGGUGGGUAGUUUGACUGGGGCGGUCUCCUCCUAAAGAGUAACGGAGGAGCACGAAGGUUGGCUAAUCCUGGUCGGACAUCAGGAGGUUAGUGCAAUGGCAUAAGCCAGCUUGACUGCGAGCGUGACGGCGCGAGCAGGUGCGAAAGCAGGUCAUAGUGAUCCGGUGGUUCUGAAUGGAAGGGCCAUCGCUCAACGGAUAAAAGGUACUCCGGGGAUAACAGGCUGAUACCGCCCAAGAGUUCAUAUCGACGGCGGUGUUUGGCACCUCGAUGUCGGCUCAUCACAUCCUGGGGCUGAAGUAGGUCCCAAGGGUAUGGCUGUUCGCCAUUUAAAGUGGUACGCGAGCUGGGUUUAGAACGUCGUGAGACAGUUCGGUCCCUAUCUGCCGUGGGCGCUGGAGAAUUGAGGGGGGCUGCUCCUAGUACGAGAGGACCGGAGUGGACGCAUCACUGGUGUUCGGGUUGUCAUGCCAAUGGCAUUGCCCGGUAGCUACAUGCGGAAGAGAUAAGUGCUGAAAGCAUCUAAGCACGAAACUUGCCCCGAGAUGAGUUCUCCCUGAGACUUAGAGUCUCCUGAAGGAACGUUGAAGACGACGACGUUGAUAGGCCGGGUGUGUAAGCGCAGCGAUGCGUUGAGCUAACCGGUACUAAUGAACCGUGAGGCUUAACCUUACAACGCCGAAG